Molecule: ribosomal RNA, 250 nt
Filed under: uncultured bacterium
Lineage: Bacteria
Description: partial 16S ribosomal RNA
Rfam family: Bacterial small subunit ribosomal RNA
Source: RNAcentral
GAUAAACGUUGGCGGCGUGCCUAACGCAUGCAAGUCGCACGAGGGCUACGGCCCUAGUGGCGGACGGGUGAGUAACACGUACGAAUCUGCCCGGAAGUGGGGGACAACUUCCCGAAAGGGAAGCUAAUACCGCAUGUGGUCCACGGACCAAAGCCGAAAGGCGCUUCUGGAGGAGCGUGCGGCGGAUUAGCUAGUUGGUGAGGUAAAGGCUCACCAAGGCAACGAUCAGUAGCUGGUCUGAGAGGACGAU